This 253-nucleotide unclassified non-coding RNA is filed under the name uncultured Rhodospirillales bacterium. RNAcentral's name for it is "contains 16S-23S intergenic spacer region". It matches the Rfam family "Bacterial small subunit ribosomal RNA", at positions 524 to 776 of the family's 1533-position model. The record is from RNAcentral. Lineage: Bacteria; Pseudomonadati; Pseudomonadota; Alphaproteobacteria; Rhodospirillales.
UACGGAGGGGGCUAGCGUUGUUCGGAAUUACUGGGCGUAAAGCGCGCGUAGGCGGCGUACAAAGUUAGGCGUGAAAGGCCUGGGCUUAACCCAGGAAUUGCGUUUAAAACUUGUAUGCUAGAGGCCGAGAGAGGGUGGCGGAAUUCCCAGUGUAGAGGUGAAAUUCGUAGAUAUUGGGAAGAACACCGGUUGCGAAGGCGGCCACCUGGAUCGGUUCUGACGCUGAGGUGCGAAAGCGUGGGGAGCAAACAGG